GCUGAGCAUGGUGGCACAUGCCUGUAAUCCCAGCUCCUUGGGAGGCUGAGGCAGGAGGAUCAUGAGUUCAAGCCAGCCUCAGCAAAGCAAGGCACUAAGCAACUCAGUAAGAUCCUGUCUCUA
This 123-nucleotide small RNA is filed under the name Marmota monax (woodchuck). Lineage: Eukaryota; Metazoa; Chordata; Mammalia; Rodentia; Sciuridae. The record is from RNAcentral.